RNAcentral lists this ribosomal RNA (492 nucleotides) under uncultured bacterium. RNAcentral describes it as "partial 16S ribosomal RNA". It matches the Rfam family "Bacterial small subunit ribosomal RNA", at positions 29 to 507 of the family's 1533-position model. The record is from RNAcentral.
AGUGAACGCUGGCGGUAGGCCUAACACAUGCAAGUCGAACGGCAGCACAGUAAGAGCUUGCUCUUACGGGUGGCGAGUGGCGGACGGGUGAGGAAUACAUCGGAAUCUACUUUUUCGUGGGGGAUAACGUAGGGAAACUUACGCUAAUACCGCAUACGACCUACGGGUGAAAGCAGGGGAUCUUCGGACCUUGCGCGAUUGAAUGAGCCGAGGUCGGAUUAGCUAGUUGGCGGGGUAAAGGCCCACCAAGGCGACGAGCCGUAGCUGGUCUGAGAGGAUGAUCAGCCACACUGGAACUGAGACACGGUCCAGACUCCUACGGGAGGCAGCAGUGGGGAAUAUUGGACAAUGGGCGAAAGCCUGAUCCAGCCAUACCGCGUGGGUGAAGAAGGCCUUCGGGUUGUAAAGCCCUUUUGUUGGGAAAGAAAAGCAGCAGGUUAAUACCCCGCUGUUCUGACGGUACCCAAAGAAUAAGCACCGGCUAACUUCGUG